GACGAACGCUGGCGGCGUGCUUAACACAUGCAAGUCGAACGGAAAGGCCCUGCUUUUGUGGGGUGCUCGAGUGGCGAACGGGUGAGUAACACGUGAGUAACCUGCCCUUGACUUUGGGAUAACUUCAGGAAACUGGGGCUAAUACCGGAUAUGAGCUCCUGCUGCAUGGUGGGGGUGGGAAAGUUUCGUCGGUUGGGGAUGGACUCGCGGCUUAUCAGCUUGUUGGUGGGGUAGUGGCUUACCAAGGCUUUGACGGGUAGCCGGCCUGAGAGGGUGACCGGCCACAGUGGGACUGAGAUACGGCCCAGACUGCUACGGGAGGCAGCAGUGGGGAAUAUUGCACAAUGGGCGGAAGCCUGAUGCAGCAACGCCGCGUGCGGGAUGACGGCCUUCGGGUUGUAAACCGCUUUCGCCUGUGACGAAGCGUGAGUGACGGUCAUGGGUAAAGAAGCACCGGCUAACUACGUG
This 468-nucleotide ribosomal RNA is filed under the name uncultured bacterium. RNAcentral describes it as "partial 16S ribosomal RNA". It matches the Rfam family "Bacterial small subunit ribosomal RNA", at positions 28 to 507 of the family's 1533-position model. The record is from RNAcentral.